CACAAAGUAUGACUGCUUCUGCUCUGAAAGUUUAAAAGGCAUCUCUCUAGUUGGUCUUCGAGAUGCAGUUCGAUAGGCCUAGUGAUGCGGGACAAUCCUAAAAAAAAAAUCAAUCCUAAUAAUCAAGCUCUCUUCUGUUCAUCAACAACAAAUCACGUCUGGCCAGGGGCUCAUUAUUCUCAGGACAGACAGUAUAGUUGCCUAUACUCUGCUCAGGAGGCGUGAUUGAUUGAUACGAGACUAAAGCGAGAUCAAUCUAAAUGAUACAGAUGAAUGCCANNNN
Molecule: long non-coding RNA, 283 nt
Filed under: Elaeis guineensis (African oil palm)
Lineage: Eukaryota; Viridiplantae; Streptophyta; Magnoliopsida; Arecales; Arecaceae
Description: long non-coding RNA (EGUI_LNC016752)
Source: RNAcentral